CACAAGAGUCGCCCUGUGACUACUAUUUUGA
This 31-nucleotide non-coding RNA is filed under the name Rattus norvegicus (Norway rat). Lineage: Eukaryota; Metazoa; Chordata; Mammalia; Rodentia; Muridae. The record is from RNAcentral.